CAAGCGGUGGAGCAUGUGGUUUAAUUCGAUGCAACGCGAAGAACCUUACCUGGCCUUGACAUACUAAGAACUUUCUAGAGAUAGAUUGGUGCCUUCGGGAACUUAGAUACAGGUGCUGCAUGGCUGUCGUCAGCUCGUGUCGUGAGAUGUUGGGUUAAGUCCCGCAACGAGCGCAACCCUUUUCCUUACUUGCCAGCAUUUCGGAUGGGAACUUUAAGGAUACUGCCAGUGACAAACUGGAGGAAGGCGGGGACGACGUCAAGUCAUCAUGGCCCUUACGGCCAGGGCUACACACGUGCUACAAUGGUCGGUACAGAGGGUUGCUACACAGCGAUGUGAUGCUAAUCUCAAAAAGCCGAUCGUAGUCCGGAUUGGAGUCUGCAACUCGACUCCAUGAAGUCGGAACCGCUAGUAAUCGCGGAUCAGAAUGCCGCGGUGAAUACGUUCCCGGGCCUUGUACACACC
This 465-nucleotide ribosomal RNA is filed under the name uncultured bacterium. RNAcentral describes it as "bacterial SSU rRNA". It matches the Rfam family "Bacterial small subunit ribosomal RNA", at positions 926 to 1391 of the family's 1533-position model. The record is from RNAcentral.